Molecule: ribosomal RNA, 253 nt
Filed under: uncultured bacterium
Lineage: Bacteria
Description: partial 16S ribosomal RNA
Rfam family: Bacterial small subunit ribosomal RNA
Source: RNAcentral
UACGUAGGGGGCAAGCGUUGUCCGGAUUUAUUGGGCGUAAAGAGCGUGUAGGCGGCCGUACAGGUCAGCUGUGAAAACUCGAGGCUCAACCUCGAGACGUCGGUUGAAACCGUACGGCUAGAGUCCGGAAGAGGAGAGUGGAAUUCCCGGUGUAGCGGUGAAAUGCGUAGAUAUCUGGAGGAACACCGGUGGCGAAGGCGGCAUCCUGGACCAAUACUGACACUGAGGAGCGAAAGCCAGGGGAGCAAACGGG